GUCCCGUUCGUCUAGAGGCCUAGGACAUCGCCCUCUCACGGCGGCAACACGGGUUCGAAUCCCGUACGGGACG
This 73-nucleotide transfer RNA is filed under the name Acetobacter cerevisiae DSM 14362. RNAcentral's name for it is "tRNA-Glu". It matches the Rfam family "tRNA". Rfam says of the family: Transfer RNA (tRNA) molecules are approximately 80 nucleotides in length. Lineage: Bacteria; Pseudomonadati; Pseudomonadota; Alphaproteobacteria; Acetobacterales; Acetobacteraceae. RNAcentral also lists the same sequence under 1 other name. The record is from RNAcentral.